CCUACGGGAGGCAGCAGUGGGGAAUAUUGGGCAAUGGGCGCAAGCCUGACCCAGCAACGCCGCGUGAAGGAAGAAGGCUUUCGGGUUGUAAACUUCUUUUCUCAGGGACGAAGCAAGUGACGGUACCUGAGGAAUAAGCCACGGCUAACUACGUGCCAGCAGCCGCGGUAAUACGUAGGUGGCAAGCGUUAUCCGGAUGUACUGGGUGUAAAGGGCGAGUAGGCGGGAAAGCAAGUCAGAUGUGAAAACCAUGGGCUCAACCUGUGGCCUGCAUUUGAAACUGUUUUUCUUGAGUACUGGAGAGGCAGACGGAAUUCCUGGUGUAGCGGUGAAAUGCGUAGAUAUUAGGAGGAACACCAGUGGCGAAGGCGGUCUGCUGGACAGCAACUGACGCUGAGGCGCGAAAGCGUGGGGAGCAAACAGGAUUAGAUACCCGGGUAGUC
This 443-nucleotide ribosomal RNA is filed under the name uncultured bacterium. Its description in RNAcentral is "partial 16S ribosomal RNA". It matches the Rfam family "Bacterial small subunit ribosomal RNA", at positions 338 to 795 of the family's 1533-position model. The record is from RNAcentral.